GAUGAAGAACGUAGUGAAAUGUGAUAAGUAAUGUGAAUUGCAGAAUUCAGUGAAUCAUCGAAUCUUUGAACGCACAUUGCGCCCCCUGGUAUUCCGGGGGGCAUGCCUGUUCGAGCGUCAUUUCACCACUCAAGCCUCGCUUGGUAUUGGGCAACGCGGUCCGCCGCGUGCCUCAAAUCGACCGGCUGGGUCUUCUGUCCCCUAAGCGUUGUGGAAACUAUUCGCUAAAGGGUGUUCGGGAGGCUACGCCGUAAAACAACCCCAUUUCUAAGGUUGACCUCGGAUCAGGUAGGGAUACCCGCUGAACUUAAGCAUAUCAAUAAGCGGAGGA
Molecule: unclassified non-coding RNA, 331 nt
Filed under: soil metagenome
Description: partial contains 5.8S ribosomal RNA, internal transcribed spacer 2, and large subunit ribosomal RNA
Rfam family: 5.8S ribosomal RNA (bases 1-120)
Source: RNAcentral